UUACAAUGAGCCCGUCCUCCUAUAGAUCCUCAUACCAGCCUCCUCUGCCAGACAGAACAAACAGUAAAUGUCCCUGACAUCUGAUCUGUACUACCAUGAAAGGCAGAGGAGAGAAAACAGAUUAUAUAAAGAUGGGAAGUAUCCUGAGCAUCACUGAAACAUCAACAGGCAGAGUGAGACAGACUUACUGUACAGAGACACAGGGAGAGUCAUUAUAGUGAGUGAGACAGACUUACUGUACAGAGACACAGGGAGAGUCAUUAUAGUGAGUGAGACAGACUUACUGUACAGAGACACAGGGAGAGUCAUUAGAGUGAGUGAGACAGACUUACUGUACAGAGACACAGGGAGAGUCAUUAGAGUGAGUGAGACAGACUUACUGUACAGAGACACAGGGAGAGUCAUUAUAGUGAGUGAGACAGACUUACUGUACAGAGACACAGGGAGAGUCAUUAUAGUGAGUGAGACAGACUUACUGUACAGAGACACAGGGAGAGUCAUUAUAGUGAGUGAGACAGACUUACUGUACAGAGACACAGGGAGAGUCAUUAUAGUGAGUGAGACAGACUUACUGUACAGAGACACAGGGAGAGUCAUUAGAGUGAGUGAGACAGACUUACUGUACAGAGACACAGGGAGAGUCAUUAUAGUGAGUGAGACAGACUUACUGUACAGAGACACAGGGAGAGUCAUUAUAGUGAGUGAGACAGACUUACUGUACAGAGACACAGGGAGAGUCAUUAUAGUGAGUGAGACAGACUUACUGUACAGAGACACAGGGAGAGUCAUUAUAGUGAGUGAGACAGACUUACUGUACAGAGACACAGGGAGAGUCAUUAUAGUGAGUGAGACAUAUUGAGAUAUGAUGCUGGCUGUGUGUGUCACUGUUGUCCUGGGCCUUCUCUCAGUGAGUGGCUCCCAGGCGGCCCCUUUAACCUGUGAUGAUCUCCUGAGACCACUGGAGCUGAGCAGUGUCAAUCAGACUCUGGGGAAGUGGAUGUAUAUUGCUGAGAGUUCGGAUGGUCCUUUCUGGGAACAAAUACUGUAUACCUUAUUACACAGUGCCUGGAUAGAGAUCUCUGUGCCGGUCGGUACCCAGAACAACAUUCUUGACAUCUCCCAUUUCUUUGGCAUCGGUAUUCCACAUCUAAAUGUUUUUCGAUUCAAAUGCUACAGGAUCAACUCUAACUUUACUCUGCAUGACAAUAAAACAUGGACCUCAGUGACCCCCAGCCCUGUUACUGAGGUUCUCCUGCCAACGUGCUCAGACUGCCUCCUGGCCCUGGAGAGAUGGGAUGAGGAUGGGAAGACCUUCACCUCUCUAACACUCUACAGUAGGAGACGGGAGCUCACUGCUACUGAACUGGACUUCUAUAAGAAACAGGUGGAUUGUCUCAGUCUGCCACCAGCGACAUUCAUGGAUCCACAGAAAGAUCUCUGUCGCGACACAACUCCACUCUUAGAAGAUACAAUUGAGAAGGAAGUUGAGAAUGCAGUUGAACUUAUUUCAGAGAUUCCAAGAAUACUCACAUAUACAUUUACACGUUUAAUGUAUUAUGUUUUUUAGCCAUUUUCAAUGUUUGAAAUGAGUAGUUGAUUAGUUGCCUCCUCCUCUCUGAUUGGUUUGCUGCCCACCAUGUAUUCUACAGUAACCCAGGGUUACAGUACCUAACCCAGCAAGCCUGUAAACAGUCCCUGAUGCCUUGAUGUGGGACCAAACUCCACUCUGCUAAUGUUGCUCUACAUUCAACACAAUAAAUCCAGAUUAAGACAAA
Molecule: long non-coding RNA, 1775 nt
Organism: Oncorhynchus masou masou (cherry salmon)
Lineage: Eukaryota; Metazoa; Chordata; Actinopteri; Salmoniformes; Salmonidae
Exons: 2
Source: RefSeq, a predicted model, not a curated record